This 301-nucleotide ribosomal RNA is filed under the name uncultured bacterium. RNAcentral describes it as "partial 16S ribosomal RNA". It matches the Rfam family "Bacterial small subunit ribosomal RNA", at positions 509 to 807 of the family's 1533-position model. The record is from RNAcentral.
CAGCCGCCGCGGGAAUACGGAGGGGGCUAGCGUUGUUCGGAAUUACUGGGCGUAAAGCGUGCGCAGGCGGUUUGUUAAGACAGAUGUGAAAUCCCCGGGCUCAACCUGGGAACUGCAUUUGUGACUGGCAAGCUAGAGUAUGGCAGAGGGGGGUGGAAUUCCGCGUGUAGCAGUGAAAUGCGUAGAUAUGCGGAGGAACACCGAUGGCGAAGGCAGCCCCCUGGGCCAAUACUGACGCUCAUGCACGAAAGCGUGGGGAGCAAACAGGAUUAGAUACCCGUGUAGUCCCUGUCUCUUAUAC